GCUGCUCGGUCUUUCAGAGCGCCCAGCUUGGCGCCAGUCCAUCGAAGCAUCUUUGUGGUCGUUUGGGAACGACCGAAUCUGGUGGCGAACAGACCCCCAACUGGCCCACGCCCUGGAGAGCUCGAGAAGGUGACAAUAAUGACCACAGCCCCUGCUUAUGAUACUUGGUACGGGCUCGGCGCUAAACGCUUUAUUUACGUUGUGCCAUUUAUUCGUCACCACAGGCCUAAGAGGAAGACAGUAUAACUCUCAUGCUGAUCAGCUGGUGCAGAUUCGUGCAGCGCACAACUCAGGCUUAGCACGAUGGGUUCACGAAAAGAGUGGACACUUGGGAGAACAAACUUCAUACAGAUAUUCCUGCUGCGCUCGCUAUGCUAUACUGCAACUCCAUGUCUGCUGCAGACCUACAUGCCAACUAAUGUCUCUGUAGGACAACCCUUGACCGUGCACUGCUGGACCAGCUGCUCUAUAGUGGGACCUGUAACCUGGACUAUGAAUGGUCGAAAAAUUUGGUCUCAGAAACAUCAAACAACUUCUCAGUAUAAGCCUAUAUCUGAUCAAUCACACAGAACUAAUUAUAAUUUCUCUAUUACCCUGACUUCUGCUGCCCUCUGUGAUGGGGGCUGGUCUGGACUUCUACAAGCUAAUUUGUUUAGGCCUAGGUGUUACCUUAUCUAAUGUUAUCUUUGAUGCUGUACAUGAUUUGCAAAUCAAGUUAAUAAUAUUUCAUAUUCUAAGGGGUUAUUUGAUUGGUUACCUUGGGGUUUAGGCCCUUUGUUGUGAGAUAGUUUUGUAAUUAUUGUAGUCAUUGGAUUUUGUGGUCUUGGGUGUGCCUUAUGUACUUCUGUAUGAAGUUCAUUGUCUGUGCAUAUGGUGUCUUAUGGUUAAUGGAGACGGCCACGGCCGAAAAUGUCUUGACAUGGGUACAGCCAUGUUUGGCCGUUCCAUUGACCUAUAGCCACCAGCACACAAAAAAAUAUAAAGCUGCUUUCUGUUGAUGGGAACUGGCCUUUCUCCCGGGAAUUGGCCCUUCUCCCAUGGAGAGAGUUGCAAGUUGUAACAUUUCAAGGCUCUUUGGGCAUCGUAGCUUGGGACGGACUGGCCAUCUGUGCCGGACUGGGAUGAUAACCAGGGAAAACAAUGCACGUACACAACUGCUGGGCUGGGACAAUAGCCAGGAUGCUCAGUGCACGUACGCCACUGAUAACCAUUUGUGCAUGGGAACACUAAAUGCUUGCUCUGCAAACUCUGUAACUGCUUACUCUGGAAAUUACUGAUGCUAUAUAAACUGCUGGAAACCGAGGCCUGGUGAGAGUCUCACCUGUGGAGGGGAUGCCUUGCCCAGGACCUCUGAUGAUCCGAUUCCCGCCCAGCUGUGUCAAUUGAAGGGACUCUCCCUGGCAGUGGGGCGUGGAUGUUGUGAGUAACUGAUCUGAUGUGUUCUCUUUUUGGUCAAGCUGGUGUUUCUCUUUCCAGUUGAUUUGUGUCAUUUCCCUUCAGUCGAUUUGGGUGUUUCCCUUUCCAAAAUGGAUCUGAUGUUUUUCCCUCUUAUUAUAUGAUCUAUUCGAAUCUGCUGCUAUCUCAGUCGAUGCAGGUGUUUCCCUUUCUGAUCAAGCUGAUGUUUUUCCCUCUUAUUAAUUGACCUAUUCGAUCUGUUUGUGGACUAUCACCUUUA
Long non-coding RNA from Diceros bicornis minor, 1675 nucleotides. RefSeq lists it as uncharacterized. The transcript has 3 exons. Lineage: Eukaryota; Metazoa; Chordata; Mammalia; Perissodactyla; Rhinocerotidae. The record is from RefSeq and is a predicted model, not a curated record.